AACGCGAAAGCGGGCUUCGGCCCGCAAGUAGAGUGGCAGACGGGUGAGUAACGCGUGGGUGACCUACCUUCGAGUGGGGGAUAACCUUCCGAAAGGAGGGCUAAUACCGCAUAACAUCCCGCUUUUUGAGAAGCGGUGAUCAAAGCUGGGGAUCGCAAGACCUGGCGCUUGUUGAGGGGCCCGCGUCCGAUUAGCUUGUUGGUGGGGUAAUGGCUCACCAAGGCUCCGAUCGGUAGCCGGCCUGAGAGGGCGGACGGCCACACUGGGACUGAGACACGGCCCAGACUCCUACGGGAGGCAGCAGUGGGGAAUUGUUCGCAAUGGGCGAAAGCCUGACGACGCAACGCCGCGUGGAGGACGAAGAUCUUCGGGUCGUAAACUCCUGUCGAGCGGGAAGAAACGUUUCCGGGUGAAUAGCCCGGAGACCUGACGGUACCGCUUGAAGGAAG
This 449-nucleotide ribosomal RNA is filed under the name uncultured bacterium. Its description in RNAcentral is "bacterial SSU rRNA". It matches the Rfam family "Bacterial small subunit ribosomal RNA", at positions 65 to 491 of the family's 1533-position model. The record is from RNAcentral.